This 1110-nucleotide ribosomal RNA is filed under the name Rhodococcus (subgen. Prescottella) equi. RNAcentral's name for it is "Prescottella equi bacterial SSU rRNA". It matches the Rfam family "Bacterial small subunit ribosomal RNA", at positions 344 to 1471 of the family's 1533-position model. Lineage: Bacteria; Bacillati; Actinomycetota; Actinomycetes; Mycobacteriales; Nocardiaceae. The record is from RNAcentral.
CGGGGGAAGAGUGGGAAAUAUUCCCCAAGGGGGAAAGCCGAUUCCGGACCCCGCGGAGGGAAGGCGCCUUUGGGUUGUAACCUUUUUCAGCAGGGCGAAGGGAGAGGACGGUACCUGCAGAAGAAGCCCCGGCCAAUUACGUGCCAGCAGCCGCGGUAAUACGUAGGGUGCGAGCGUUGUCCGGAAUUACUGGGCGUAAAGAGCUCGUAGGCGGUUUGUCGCGUCGUCCGUGAAAACUUGGGGCUCAACCCCAAGCUUGCGGGCGAUACGGGCAGACUUGAGUACUGCAGGGGAGACUGGAAUUCCUGGUGUAGCGGUGAAAUGCGCAGAUAUCAGGAGGAACACCGGUGGCGAAGGCGGGUCUCUGGGCAGUAACUGACGCUGAGGAGCGAAAGCGUGGGUAGCGAACAGGAUUAGAUACCCUGGUAGUCCACGCCGUAAACGGUGGGCGCUAGGUGUGGGUUUCCUUCCACGGGAUCCGUGCCGUAGCUAACGCAUUAAGCGCCCCGCCUGGGGAGUACGGCCGCAAGGCUAAAACUCAAAGGAAUUGACGGGGGCCCGCACAAGCGGCGGAGCAUGUGGAUUAAUUCGAUGCAACGCGAAGAACCUUACCUGGGUUUGACAUAUACCGGAAAGCCGUAGAGAUACGGCCCCCCUUGUGGUCGGUAUACAGGUGGUGCAUGGCUGUCGUCAGCUCGUGUCGUGAGAUGUUGGGUUAAGUCCCGCAACGAGCGCAACCCUUGUCCUGUGUUGCCAGCGCGUAAUGGCGGGGACUCGCAGGAGACUGCCGGGGUCAACUCGGAGGAAGGUGGGGACGACGUCAAGUCAUCAUGCCCCUUAUGUCCAGGGCUUCACACAUGCUACAAUGGCCGGUACAGAGGGCUGCGAUACCGUGAGGUGGAGCGAAUCCCUUAAAGCCGGUCUCAGUUCGGAUCGGGGUCUGCAACUCGACCCCGUGAAGUCGGAGUCGCUAGUAAUCGCAGAUCAGCAACGCUGCGGUGAAUACGUUCCCGGGCCUUGUACACACCGCCCGUCACGUCAUGAAAGUCGGUAACACCCGAAGCCGGUGGCCUAACCCUUGUGGAGGGAGCCGUCGAAGCUGAUCGCCGU